This 72-nucleotide transfer RNA is filed under the name Intoshia linei. It matches the Rfam family "tRNA". From Rfam's summary of the family: Transfer RNA (tRNA) molecules are approximately 80 nucleotides in length. Their secondary structure includes four short double-helical elements and three loops (D, anti-codon, and T loops). The record is from Rfam by way of RNAcentral. Lineage: Eukaryota; Metazoa; Orthonectida; Rhopaluridae.
GGCCAGUUGGUCUAGUGGUAUGAUUCACGCUUUGGGAGCGUGAGGUCCCGGGUUCAAUCCCCGGACUGGCCC